CCUACGGGGGGCAGCAGUGGGGAAUAUUGGACAAUGGGGGCAACCCUGAUCCAGCAAUUCUGUGUGCACGAAGACGGUUUUCGGAUUGUAAAGUGCUUUCAGCAGGGAAGAAGGAAGUGACGGUACCUGCAGAAGAAGCGACGGCUAAAUACGUGCCAGCAGCCGCGGUAAUACGUAUGUCGCGAGCGUUAUCCGGAAUUAUUGGGCAUAAAGGGCAUCUAGGCGGCCUUUCAAGUCAGGGGUGAAAACCUGCGGCUCAACCGCAGGCCUGCCUUUGAAACUGAUAGGCUGGAGUACCGGAGAGGUGGACGGAACUGCACGAGUAGAGGUGAAAUUCGUAGAUAUGUGCAGGAAUGCCGAUGAUGAAGAUAGUUCACUGGACGGUAACUGACGCUGAAGUGCGAAAGCCGGGGGAGCGAACAGGAUUAGAUACCCGGGUAGUC
This 443-nucleotide ribosomal RNA is filed under the name uncultured Leptotrichia sp. RNAcentral describes it as "bacterial SSU rRNA". It matches the Rfam family "Bacterial small subunit ribosomal RNA", at positions 338 to 795 of the family's 1533-position model. Lineage: Bacteria; Fusobacteriati; Fusobacteriota; Fusobacteriia; Fusobacteriales; Leptotrichiaceae. The record is from RNAcentral.